Molecule: transfer RNA, 70 nt
Filed under: Hemidactylus hajarensis
Lineage: Eukaryota; Metazoa; Chordata; Lepidosauria; Squamata; Gekkonidae
Description: tRNA-His
Source: RNAcentral
GCAGACAUAAUUUAAACCAAAAUAUUAAGCUGUGGACUUAAAAACAAAGCCUCAACAUCUUUUGCCUGCC